This is a long non-coding RNA of Salvelinus sp. IW2-2015, 2054 nucleotides long. RefSeq lists it as uncharacterized. Lineage: Eukaryota; Metazoa; Chordata; Actinopteri; Salmoniformes; Salmonidae. The record is from RefSeq and is a predicted model, not a curated record.
UUUUUUUGAAGUUGUAUGUAAGCACACUGGUUCUGACCAGUACGUGCUAAAUAAUAAUAAUAAAAUGUCAGAAGUAUGACGAAGAUUUAAAGUCUGGACUUUUGCUUCGCAAGUCCCACCUAAAAAUGCUGAUUCACCCACAGCGUCACAUUUCCAUAAACUGAGCAUGAAUUACUCGCUGUCUCACCUCUGCUGUAUUUAAGAAGGAGUCUUAACAAACAUCACUAAUUGCCUUUCUACAUUGGAGCAGCAAUUGAACAAUUGUAUUUAGCAUGUAUAGUGCCUCGUGAAAAGUCUUCAUACCCCUUGCACAGUUUUCACAGUUUUUUCUGCCUUAAAAUUACAUGUAAAAAGGGAUUAAAUUAGAUUUUUUUUCUCCGACCAAUCUACACAACCUACUACACAAUUUCAAUGUAAAGGAAAAUUAUAGAAAAUGUUCUUAAUUAAAUAGAAUAAAAAACAAAGAUGCCUUGAUUGCGUAUGUCUUCACACACCAUAGUUAAUACUUGGUGGAAUAACUUUUGGCAGCCAUUACAGCUGUGAGAUUAACAUUUGUGUAAAGUUGGUAGGAUCUCAUUCAAAAUUAUUCACAGCUGUAAUGCCUGCCGAUGGUGGUUCCACCAAGUAUUAACUCUGGGGUGUGAAGACAUAUGCAAUCAAGACUUGUAUUUUUAUUUGUAUUMAUUUGGAAAAUGUUCUGUAAAUCUUCUUUCACUUUGAAAAUGUGGGAUAGGUUGURUAGAUCAGUAGGAAAACAAUAUAAUGUGUAAUUGAAUUUUAACAAGGGGUGUUUACACUUUCACUAGGCACUGUACUUAUUCUCUCUCUUUUUCUCUAUUGUUUCUACCCCAUGGUCUCUCUUAGUAUCUGACCACAGUCAUCCCAUAUGAGAAGAAAGGAGGUCCUCCAUCGGUGGAAGAUCUUCAGAUCCUUACCCAAAUCCUGCAAGCUAUGAGAGACGACAGUGACAAGGUGCCCAGCCUUCUGACAGACUACAUUCUCAAAGUGAUUUGUCCAACAUAGACUGGAAGGACAAUAACUGACAUUUUGGAAACGAGGUGAGGGAUCUGGUUUCAAUGUCAACAAGCAAAAUGAAGAGGACUUGCUCAGUGUAUAAAAAAUAAAAACAUAAGCACACUUCAUUUAUUCGUAAUGAUGCAUGGUAUUUUACCAGUUGCUCCUUUUUGUGUAACACCCAUAGAUGUUUUAUAGCUCAUUCAGUUUUGUUUUCUCCGUGUUGAGCAUGGUGAUUUCACAAACCUUGUGUAUUUGACUACUUCAAGUAUAAUWUUUUWUUUUUUUUACUCUAAUUACAGUGUCAAAUUCAGUACUCAAAGUCAUAAGAAAGAUACUCAUAUAUUCUAGUGUAGCAUCUACUGUAUGUGGCUGAUUUCAACAUCCUUUUGGACGAUAGGGAGCCUUACAUUUUUGGCCCUGAAGUAAGAUCGAAGCUACUCAUAUCCAAAGGUUUGUGUCUUAAUUGGAUUAACCUAAUCURAAGGUCUCAGAAACGACUGAGCUACACUCCCCAGCACUUGUAAUAUCAGGGAUAUGAAACAUUUUAGAUUACUUUAAAAGUGCUUAAACACAUUUCAUUAAUAAAAUAAACCUUGAACUAAAUACAAAAAAAAUUCUACACAACUCAGUCCACCAUUUGGCCUCCCUAAAAGCACUGCAUAUAUUUUUUUUUGUCAUAGCUAAAUACUGUAGUAGUACCAUUGUUGUCAUACUUAGAAGGAAUUGCAAAGGUAAUGUGAACAGAACUGUAAUUAAUUACAGAACACUGAUGUGACUACUAGCUAUGCAUUUGAGUAAAUAAUGACUCACUGAAGCCCUGAAUCAGAGGCACCAUGCAGCCCAGACCUGGCCAGUCUGUGAAGGCUGGGCAUUAUUAUAUUUCUAUACACAAGAAAUUAAGAUGCCUUUGUAUUUGCCAGAAUUUUUUGUACAWUUACUUAUUUUUAACCAAAUGUUAUUAUACUAAGCUACUUAUCUGCUAAACUCUUAAUUUAUUUUGUAAAUAUUUUAUUUCAAAUAAAUGUAUAAAGUCAAUG